Molecule: long non-coding RNA, 817 nt
Organism: Passer domesticus (house sparrow)
Lineage: Eukaryota; Metazoa; Chordata; Aves; Passeriformes; Passeridae
Exons: 5
Source: RefSeq, a predicted model, not a curated record
UGUCUGCAGGGACGACCUCACCAACUCCUACCUUGGAUGCUGCACAAAAGGCCAGCUCCCAUGGCAGGGGUGAGUAGUGUGUCCCUGCUGACCCCUCAGGCUGAGCCCUGCUUUUGUGGGGUCCAUUCCUGGGAAAUGGAACUACUUUCUCUUAAGGUCCUCUGACAGGAGAGACCAAAGACAUGGCAGGCAGGAAAUUCCAGGACCCAUUAGAAAUCAUGUGGCAAAUGCUGAAGGAAUGUCUGCAGAGAAGACAAGAAAUGAAAGGAGAGCCUGCGGAGAAAGAAGCAUUUCCCGGAAGAAGCAGUGGUUGCAUGCCAGCCUCAGCUCCAGGAAGGGAGGCCAUGCCAGGCACAGGCACAGGAGAUGAGGGUGCUGGGAAGGCUUCUCCAUCAGCUUGGAUGAAUAAAGUUUUGAAGCCCUUGGAGCCUCCUGCAGGUAUGUUCUCAGUGUGCCACCAAGGAAGAAUUGUAGACAAGCGGGCAGGCACCAGGUGACAGAAGCUUCUGUGGCUGUUGUGUUACAGAUGUGUCUACAGGGAAGACUUCUCCAGCUUCUCCAGCUGCUACCUUGGAUGCUGCACUCAAGCCCAGCUCCCAUCUCAGGGGUCCUCUGGCAGGAGAGACCAAAGACAUGGCAGGCAGGAAAUUCCAGGACCCAUUAGAAAUCAUGUGGCAAAUGCUGAAGGAACAUCUGCAGAGAAGGCAAGAAAUGAAAGGAGAGCCUGCGGAGAAAGAAGCAUUUCCCGGAGGAAGCAGUGGUUGCAUGCCAGCCUCAGCUCCAGGAAGGGAGGCCAUGCCAGGCACAGGCACAGGAG